This 540-nucleotide ribosomal RNA is filed under the name Enterococcus faecium. RNAcentral's name for it is "bacterial SSU rRNA". It matches the Rfam family "Bacterial small subunit ribosomal RNA", at positions 251 to 783 of the family's 1533-position model. Lineage: Bacteria; Bacillati; Bacillota; Bacilli; Lactobacillales; Enterococcaceae. The record is from RNAcentral.
GGUGAGGUAACGGCUCACCAAGGCCACGAUGCAUAGCCGACCUGAGAGGGUGAUCGGCCACAUUGGGACUGAGACACGGCCCAAACUCCUACGGGAGGCAGCAGUAGGGAAUCUUCGGCAAUGGACGAAAGUCUGACCGAGCAACGCCGCGUGAGUGAAGAAGGUUUUCGGAUCGUAAAACUCUGUUGUUAGAGAAGAACAAGGAUGAGAGUAACUGUUCAUCCCUUGACGGUAUCUAACCAGAAAGCCACGGCUAACUACGUGCCAGCAGCCGCGGUAAUACGUAGGUGGCAAGCGUUGUCCGGAUUUAUUGGGCGUAAAGCGAGCGCAGGCGGUUUCUUAAGUCUGAUGUGAAAGCCCCCGGCUCAACCGGGGAGGGUCAUUGGAAACUGGGAGACUUGAGUGCAGAAGAGGAGAGUGGAAUUCCAUGUGUAGCGGUGAAAUGCGUAGAUAUAUGGAGGAACACCAGUGGCGAAGGCGGCUCUCUGGUCUGUAACUGACGCUGAGGCUCGAAAGCGUGGGGAGCAAACAGGAUUAGAU